CGUAACAAGGUUUCCGUAGGUGAACCUGCGAAAGGAUCAUUG
This 42-nucleotide ribosomal RNA is filed under the name Phalaenopsis violacea. Its description in RNAcentral is "partial 17S ribosomal RNA". Lineage: Eukaryota; Viridiplantae; Streptophyta; Magnoliopsida; Asparagales; Orchidaceae. The record is from RNAcentral.